Molecule: ribosomal RNA, 650 nt
Filed under: uncultured bacterium
Lineage: Bacteria
Description: bacterial SSU rRNA
Rfam family: Bacterial small subunit ribosomal RNA
Source: RNAcentral
UCAGGCCUAACACAUGCAAGUCGAGCGGAAACGAGUUAUCUGAACCUUCGGGGGACGAUAACGGCGUCGAGCGGCGGACGGGUGAGUAAUGCCUAGGAAAUUGCCCUGAUGUGGGGGAUAACCAUUGGAAACGAUGGCUAAUACCGCAUAAUGCCUACGGGCCAAAGAGGGGGUCCUUCGGGCCUCUCGCGUCAGGAUAUGCCUAGGUGGGAUUAGCUAGUUGGUGAGGUAAGGGCCCACCAAGGCGACGAUCCCUAGCUGGUCUGAGAGGAUGAUCAGCCACACUGGAACUGAGACACGGUCCAGACUCCUACGGGAGGCAGCAGUGGGGAAUAUUGCACAAUGGGCGCAAGCCUGAUGCAGCCAUGCCGCGUGUGUGAAGAAGGCCUUCGGGUUGUAAAGCACUUUCAGUCGUGAGGAAGGUGGUGUAGUUAAUAGCUGCAUUAUUUGACGUUAGCGACAGAAGAAGCACCGGCUAACUCCGUGCCAGCAGCCGCGGUAAUACGGAGGGUGCGAGCGUUAAUCGGAAUUACUGGGCGUAAAGCGCAUGCAGGUGGUUUGUUAAGUCAGAUGUGAAAGCCCGGGGCUCAACCUCGGAAUAGCAUUUGAAACUGGCAGACUAGAGUACUGUAGAGGGGGGUAGAAUUUCA